RNAcentral lists this long non-coding RNA (1626 nucleotides) under Sus scrofa (pig). Its description in RNAcentral is "lncRNA (ENSSSCG00050015713.1)". Lineage: Eukaryota; Metazoa; Chordata; Mammalia; Artiodactyla; Suidae. The record is from RNAcentral.
GAAGGGCCAAAGAAGAGGGGGAAGGGGCUAGGACUUCCUGAGCACCAGCCUCCGAAGGCCUGAGGGAAGGGGAUUUCAGUUCUGAGUCGAAAAGUGAAGACCACUUCUGGGCAAAAUUGUAAAGCAGAGGAAGGGAAGAAAAUGGAAGAAGCAAGAAGCAAGGAUUGAGAAGAACUGCCAUGUGCCAGAACUGGAAAAAGAGCCUUAGAAAAUGAAGACCGUUAAAAGAGUGAAAAAGAACAAUUUUGCAAAAACUUCUGUAAAUUACUGUUAGCACAAAGCAGUAUCAUCGGCCAUCUUUUCUGACCACAGUGUUAUGAAACUAGAAAUCACGUACAAGAAGAAAACUGAAGGUAGAGAUUAAACAACAAGCCACUGAACAAUCAAUGGGUAAUCAAAAUUAAAGGAAAAAUUAAAAAGAUAGCUAGAGACAAAUUAAAGCAUAAAUGCAACAUACCGGAGUUCCCGUUGUGGCACAGUGGUUAACGAAUCCGACUAGGAACCAUGAGGUUGCGGGUUCGGUCCCUGCCCUUGCUCAGUGGGUUAAGGAUCUGGCGUUGCCGUGAGCUGUGGUGUAGGUUGCAGACGCGGCUCGGAUCCCGCGUUGCUGUGGCUCUGGCGUAGGCCGGUGGCUACAGCUCCGAUUGGACCCCUAGCCUGGGAACCUCCAUAUGCCGNNNNNNNNNNNNAAAAAAAAAAAAAAAAAAAAAAAAAAAAAAAAAAAAAAAAAAAAAAAAAAAAUGCAACAUACCAAAAUCUAUGGGAUAUAGCAGAAGUGGUUCUAAAGGGAAGUUCAUAGCAAUACAAUCCUACCUCAAGAAAUAAGAAAAAUCUCAAACAACUUAACUUUGCACCUUAAAAAAUAGGGGGAAAAAAAGAACAAACAAGGUUCAAAAUUAGUAAAAGAAACUGAAAAUCAGAGAAGAAAUGUAUGAAAUAAAGAUUAAAAAGACAAAAAAUCAGGGAAACUAAGAGCUAGUUCUUUGAAAAGAUGAACAAAAUUGACAAAUCUUUAGCUAGAGUCACCAGUGAAAUAAAUGAGAGGACUCAAAUAAAAAUUAGAAAUGAAAUGAGAUGUUAUAGCUGCUACCAUAGAAAUACAAAGCAUCAUAAGAGACACACCAACAAAUUGACAACCUAAAGGAAAUAUUUAAAUUCUUAGAAAAAGACAACCUACCAAGACUGAAUCAUGAAGAAAUAGAAAAUCUGAACAGAUGGAUUACUAGUAAGGAAGUUGAAUCAAUAAUCAAAAACCUCCCAAUCAAUAAAAGUCCAGGACCAGAUAGCUUCACUGGUGAAUCCUACUAAACGUUUAAAGAAGAAUUAAUGCCAAUCCUUUCCAAACUUUUCCAAAAAAUACGAUGGAGGAAACAGUUCCAAACUUGUUUUUUGAGGCCAGUAAUACCCUGAUACCAAAACCAGACAAGAAUGCCACAAGAAAAAGAAAAUUACAGGCCAAUAUCCCUGAGAACACAGAUGCAAAAAUCACCAACAAAAUAUUGGCAAGCUGAAAUGAACAAUACAUUGAAAGGAUUAUACACCAAGAUCAAAUGGGAUAUAUAUCAGGAGUGCAAGAAUGGCUUGAUACCUGCAGAUCAAUGAGUAUGAUAAAUGCCAUUAUCAAAA